GGGGCCAUGGCUCAACCGGUCAGAGCGUCCGCCUGUCUAGCGGAAGGGUGCGGGUUCGAAUCCCGCUGGCCUCGUCA
RNAcentral lists this transfer RNA (77 nucleotides) under uncultured Thermomicrobiales bacterium. RNAcentral describes it as "tRNA-Asp-GTC". It matches the Rfam family "tRNA". From Rfam's summary of the family: Transfer RNA (tRNA) molecules are approximately 80 nucleotides in length. Lineage: Bacteria; Pseudomonadati; Thermomicrobiota; Thermomicrobia; Thermomicrobiales. The record is from RNAcentral.